GCCCUUGUAGCUCAGUUGGUAGAGCACAUCCAUGGUAAGGAUGGGGUCACCGGUUCAAGUCCGGUCAAGGGCU
RNAcentral lists this transfer RNA (73 nucleotides) under Persicimonas caeni. It matches the Rfam family "tRNA". Rfam says of the family: Transfer RNA (tRNA) molecules are approximately 80 nucleotides in length. The record is from Rfam by way of RNAcentral. Lineage: Bacteria; Deltaproteobacteria; Bradymonadales; Bradymonadaceae.